Molecule: ribosomal RNA, 253 nt
Filed under: uncultured bacterium
Lineage: Bacteria
Description: partial 16S ribosomal RNA
Rfam family: Bacterial small subunit ribosomal RNA
Source: RNAcentral
UACGGAGGGUGCAAGCGUUGUCCGGAUUUAUUGGGUUUAAAGGGUGCGUAGGCGGCUUUAUAAGUCCGUGGUGAAAGCCAACAGCUCAACUGUUGAACUGCCAUGGAUACUGUAAGGCUUGAGUACAGACGAGGUAGGCGGAAUGGAUGGUGUAGCGGUGAAAUGCAUAGAUACCAUCCAGAACCCCGAUUGCGUAGGCAGCUUACUAGGCUGUAACUGACGCUGAGGCACGAAAGCGUGGGGAGCGAACAGG